AUGGUCCAAAAGGCGGCAAAAGAUAGUGAUGAUAAAAUGGUAUUUAACCGUAUGGUUGACCUUUGGGAGAGGAGGGAGAUUAGCCGCAAUUCAGCGAUGUCUCAAACAAAUGUGGAUCAUGUGAGAGAUGAGAUAAAAGAGAUGACGACCAUGGUGGUGAACGAUGGAGGUCGGCCUGGAAGUGAUGUGUAUUUCUAUGCUCUACAGCUGUUUACGAAGAAGGAACAUCGCAAUGUAUUCAGUGCCCUCAAGGAUGAGAUUGCUAGUGUGAGGCUUGAAUGGAUCAAGCGGACAUGG
This 297-nucleotide ribosomal RNA is filed under the name Triticum aestivum (bread wheat). RNAcentral describes it as "partial small subunit ribosomal RNA". The record is from RNAcentral. Lineage: Eukaryota; Viridiplantae; Streptophyta; Magnoliopsida; Poales; Poaceae.